This 301-nucleotide unclassified non-coding RNA is filed under the name Hevea brasiliensis (rubber tree). Lineage: Eukaryota; Viridiplantae; Streptophyta; Magnoliopsida; Malpighiales; Euphorbiaceae. The record is from RNAcentral.
UCAAUAAAGAGACAGAAAGCGCAAAUAUUAAAUGGCUGCCACUGUCUGCAAUCACCAUCAUCUGCAGACCCUGUUAAAUACAUAGCUAUACUUGGUUACUUGUCUUUUAUAUUUUUCUUCUUUUCCUCUUUUGGCCUUCAUUGUGGAUGUUGGAAAACAGCAGAAUUUCUUUGCACCAUAGUUCCAAUGAGUAAUCAUUAAUGGAUCAUCAUGUACUGUGUGUGAGUGAUGUUGCCUACUUGCCAUGGCUUAAGAAAUGUUGAUGGUUCAGUUCAGGUGUAGAUUAUAUGUUACAUUCUCG